GACGAACGCUGGCGGCGUGCUUAACACAUGCAAGUCGAACGGAAAGGCCCUGCUUUUGUGGGGUGCUCGAGUGGCGAACGGGUGAGUAACACGUGAGUAACCUGCCCUUGACUUUGGGAUAACUUCAGGAAACUGGGGCUAAUACCGGAUAGGAGCUCCUGCUGCAUGGUGGGGGUUGGAAAGUUUCGGCGGUUGGGGAUGGACUCGCGGCUUAUCAGCUUGUUGGUGGGGUAGUGGCUUACCAAGGCUUUGACGGGUAGCCGGCCUGAGGGGGUGACCGGCCACAUUGGGACUGAGGUACGGCCCAGCCUCCUACGGGAGGCAGCAGUGGGGAAUAUUGCACAAUGGGCGGAAGCCUGAUGCAGCAACGCCGCGUGCGGGAUGACGGCCUUCGGGUUGUAAACCGCUUUCGCCUGUGACGAAGCGUGAGUGACGGUAAUGGGUAAAGAAGCACCGGCUAACUACGUG
Molecule: ribosomal RNA, 468 nt
Filed under: uncultured bacterium
Lineage: Bacteria
Description: partial 16S ribosomal RNA
Rfam family: Bacterial small subunit ribosomal RNA
Source: RNAcentral